Molecule: transfer RNA, 75 nt
Filed under: Mus musculus (house mouse)
Lineage: Eukaryota; Metazoa; Chordata; Mammalia; Rodentia; Muridae
Description: tRNA-Ala
Rfam family: tRNA
About the family: Transfer RNA (tRNA) molecules are approximately 80 nucleotides in length.
Source: RNAcentral
UUGGAGAUUUAGCUCAGUGGUAGAGCGCUUGCCUAGCAAGCACAAGGCCCUGGGUUCGGUCCUCAGCUCUGGAAA